UGGUAACACAUGGAGCUGACUGUUACUAAUAGGUCGAGGGCAUAACCAAA
Molecule: ribosomal RNA, 50 nt
Filed under: Ruminococcus sp. AF25-3LB
Lineage: Bacteria; Bacillati; Bacillota; Clostridia; Eubacteriales; Oscillospiraceae
Also listed under: 1 other name
Description: partial 23S ribosomal RNA
Source: RNAcentral